This 209-nucleotide long non-coding RNA is filed under the name Elaeis guineensis (African oil palm). RNAcentral's name for it is "long non-coding RNA (EGUI_LNC035935)". The record is from RNAcentral. Lineage: Eukaryota; Viridiplantae; Streptophyta; Magnoliopsida; Arecales; Arecaceae.
AUGACCUUGGCUACGUCAGAUGGGAUCGUAUCUUUUAUGCAAAAGAAGGAUCUACUAUCUUUCACACGAAUCCACCAUUGGAUCAUCCAUUGAUCAUUUUGAGAUUCAUGUGAAUGGAUAAGUGAUUGGUCCAAAGUGCCCUGAGAUCUGCACAGUUGGUGAUCCAAUGAUGGAUUCUCAUGAAGGAAGGUGAAUCCUUCUAUCACCAC